GGGGGCGUGAGCUUCUGCCCGGCUUCGCGUGGGCGCGGCGGCAAUGCGGGAACGCAAGACCGCAGCUAGGGAGUGCUGUCCAGCCCACAUCCAGGAUGAAGUUUAGGAAAAACAAAACAAAAC
Long non-coding RNA from Aquila chrysaetos chrysaetos, 123 nucleotides. RefSeq lists it as uncharacterized. The record is from RefSeq and is a predicted model, not a curated record. Lineage: Eukaryota; Metazoa; Chordata; Aves; Accipitriformes; Accipitridae. The transcript has 2 exons.